UUCGCAUUUCUUUCCUUCCAUUCAAGCAGGGAUUAUGCUCCAAAUCUUCUUUGAUGGUUUGUUGUUACCUCUGCAGUUCCAAUAAUUUAGUUACUAUUAUGUAUGGAAUAGCAGCGAUAAUGUUGACAAGAUGGAUCUGUAAUUGAAAAGAUAAACUCUCCAAAUGGUGAUUUUAUUAAUGCAUUUAGAAAGAGUUGAAGAAAUCCGAAAUCAAAGAUCAGAAAGUCUUGACGAACCUUCACCUAAUGAUGCACUUGGCAUAGUAUUUGGUCCCGAGCACCCCGGCCGUGAUCGAGGUUUAGGCUUGGAUGUAGUUCCAACUAUAGCAUUCAAACAGACAUCUAUGACAUUCCGUCGUGGUUAUGUGGGGAAUAUUAUAUGAGAGGAAGCAACAUGGAGUAUUUUGGAGGCGAUAAUGUGAAGAAAAACACUCACUCGAGAAGUACCAGAACACAAAGAAGCAUAAAUGACAUAGGCAAGAAGGCUACCGCGACCACGGUGAACCGCGACAGGUUACUGAAGUGAGGCAGAAAGGUCAGCUUUCACCGUGGUCGACCGCGAGCGCGAUGCACUGUUCACGCAGCUGGAAGUUUGAGGACCAAAGUGUAAUUUUGGGAAAUUUUUUGUAAAACCCUUAUAAGCUUUAAAAACUCGCCCAAUUGAAAGGGGAAGCUAAUUUUAGACUACUUUUGGAGGAAGAACAAGUGUGAGAAGAUCAACAAAACAUUAGAGUUU
Molecule: long non-coding RNA, 735 nt
Organism: Nicotiana tabacum (common tobacco)
Lineage: Eukaryota; Viridiplantae; Streptophyta; Magnoliopsida; Solanales; Solanaceae
Source: RefSeq, a predicted model, not a curated record